RNAcentral lists this ribosomal RNA (160 nucleotides) under uncultured bacterium. RNAcentral describes it as "partial 16S ribosomal RNA". It matches the Rfam family "Bacterial small subunit ribosomal RNA", at positions 367 to 552 of the family's 1533-position model. The record is from RNAcentral.
UACAUGGACGUAGCUGAUGCAGCGAUGUCGCGUGAGUGAUGAGGCCUUCGGGUUGUAAGCUCUGUCGGCAGGGACGAUGUGACAGUACCCGUAGAGGAAGCACCUGAUAACUCCGUGACAGCAGCCGCGGUACUACUACAUGCCAGCAUACGCGGUAAUA